This 1383-nucleotide long non-coding RNA is filed under the name Theobroma cacao (cacao). RNAcentral's name for it is "long non-coding RNA (TCAC_LNC000314)". The record is from RNAcentral. Lineage: Eukaryota; Viridiplantae; Streptophyta; Magnoliopsida; Malvales; Malvaceae.
UUUUGGCCGGCCAAAGCAAAGAACAAAGAGAAAAAGAGAAGAACAAACCCUAGGAAGGAAAAAUUCAAGAGAAAUUGAUGGAUUUUAAGGAAUCAAGCAAGUAAAGGUAAGAUUUUUUAAUUUUAGCUUGUGAUCUACCUUUCCCAUGCAUUCUUUUUCAUUUUUCAUGGCUGAAAUUCAAUUUUUCAAGAGGGAACCUUUGCUGUCCAAAUCUAGAGAGAGAAGUUUUGGUGAUGAAUUUUGCUAGAUUUCAUAAUAUCCUAGUGUUUUUAAUCAUUUUAUGAUGUUUGGAAGGAAAAACAAGCAAGAAAAUCACAUGUUCUUCAACCACCCUCAUUUGGCCGAAUUUUCUAUAGGGGAUGUUGAUGAUGGAUUUGGUUGUAUUGCAUGUUAUUUAGCUAGGAAUUGAUGAAUUAUGGGGUUGGAUAUCGAAACCGGUUAUUGAAAAAUAUAGUUCCUUUAGAAAAUGGCUUGAUGAAAAAUGAGAAAAUCAUAAUAAAUGGACUUGGAUUUGAUUCCUAAUGAUAUAUAUAUGGAUUUACGAGAUUAUGUAGACAUUGAUUAGUAUGUUAGUUCGGAAUCGGAAUGAAUUUUGGAAAAUGGUGAAGUUAGUCAAAAAUCAAGUUCAUUGAAAUGCUUUGGUGUAUUAGAUCAUUGGUAGUGGAAUGAGUAUAUUUGGAGUUGAAUCGGAUGUUUUGGCUAAAUCAAUCAUGUAUAGUUCGAAUUAGGCCGAAUACAAAUUCAUUCUGAUCACAAUUGAACCUACAUAGAAUACCGUCUUUAAGUUAUUAUUCGGACAAUUCUCAUUCAAUGUCAUGCAUUCAUAUAGAGCCUGAAAUAGUUUUAUAACAGUUUGGCACAAAUAUAUUGAAUUACAUGUCGUGCAUUAUUUAUAGGUGGUGACCCCUUUGAUAAGGGUAAAGAUAUUGUGCCCGAGGACCAAGAAUAGGAGUACUCCAAACUCCUGCUAUUGUGAGUAAUCAGACUUUCAUCUUAACUAUCUAAAGUAGUUUAUACUCGUUUUUAUGUUUUAAGGAAAAAUAAAUUUAAAUUGCAAACUAUUAUUUUUUAUAAUUGAAGUGUUGAUUAAACGAAAUGAGAUUUGUAACUUGUUUUGAAAUUGAAUACUGGUUUUGGAAAUUGAGUAAAUGGAGACUGUAUACUUGUGUUAUAUAUAUGUUUUGACAUAUGGUUUGAAUUGAUGGCUUAUGACAAUGUGAUGGCAAUCAUGGCUGGAUUUGUGUUUAUGUGGAAUAUAUGAACUGUUUUGCUUUGCCUUGACAGGCUAGUAAUAUUAUAUUAGCCAUGUCAUGCUGUCAAAAAUUUUAUUGAAUUGGUGGAUUAUUUGAUUAGCUUACUGCAAUGGGCGGGUUUCCAUGGACC